Molecule: long non-coding RNA, 1128 nt
Organism: Zea mays
Lineage: Eukaryota; Viridiplantae; Streptophyta; Magnoliopsida; Poales; Poaceae
Exons: 5
Source: RefSeq, a predicted model, not a curated record
GUCCCUUUCCUCCGUAAGUACAUGGUUCACUUGUCACAUCUAUCUAUCUAUAUAUUAAUGAAGAAUCUAAGAUAAAGUUCGUGUUUUAUGUAGUUUCGUGCUAUUUGACGAUAUUCAAGGUUUCAAUAACUUACCACAAGUAAAGAGUGUCUUUGCGAGGGUAGUUGUUAAGUUUCCUAGGCAUCGUAAUAGUCAACACUUCAUCCUACAGGACAUCACUGGAGCCAAAAUCGAAGCAAUUUCAAACGGCAAUAAUGUCGAACGGUUCGACGUCUUACUCAAACAAGGAUACACAUAUACAUUGUAUAAAGUGGCAUUCUGUCUAAACUGGGCGGAGGUUCAAUUUCGGAAUAUUGCGCAUGGGCUAGAGUUGGGAUUGAUAACACAUACUAUUGUGGAGCCAUUCACUAAACCAAUUCAAUUUCCUCCAUUUCCAAAAUAUCUUAUGCCAUUUCAUGAUGUUUACCAACAACCGCAUAAGACGUUCGUAGACAUUAUUGGCAUAGUUGUUCAUUUGGAGCCAUUAAAGUAUAUCGGUGGAAGGCCAUACAGAGAGGCUGUACUAAUGGAUUCCAGGUGGAAUCUAAUUGUCAUGGGGGUAUGGACCGAUCUCCUGCAGAGAAAUGCUCUACGAUGGGCAUUAGCUAAAGUUGACAAGAAUAUAAUUAUUGCAACAAUGAUGCGUCGUAACAAUAAAUAUAUACCUAGCAUCUUUCAACAUAUAUUCAAUUUUCAUGUUUAUUAUUAAUUCUAUACUAUAAAUAACAAUAGGAUGUUUGGAAACUUCAGACUAUAGCACCAUUCAUUUUAACCCAGAUCAUCACACUACAAGCCGGCUGCAGAUCAUUCGACACUCGUUGAUUCAAAAUCCAAGGAGUCGUGCCAUCAACAAUUUUCUGGAGAACAGACAAGCACAAUUGACAACUAUGAUACCAGAUUGAGACGUGUUUUAGCUUAUUAUAGUAGAUAUACUUUAUUAAUUAUAUGUAGUAGAACACUUAGUAACAAUGAUUUGGUCUCUAUUUGUAUUGGUCAUGUGUCCAGUCUUAAUGGUGAUAGCUUUGUACAAAACUAUGUGACUUAUCUGUGAGCGAAUAAAGAUGUUCAUCACCGUGUUUUUGUUACCAA